GACUUGCGGCUGCGCAGGAGAGCCCGGAGCAGCAACUUUAAAAAAAACAAAACCCCCCAAUUUCGUUGCGUGCCUCCUGGUGUGCUGGGAAAAAUCUCUCUGCGUGCCGGGGGUUGCCAGCACCUGUCCUAGAACAUAGAGGAAGUUAAAGUAACAGGCUUCCCUAUGGCAGUCUGGUGUGAUGGUUGGCAACAUUUCUGGGUAGAGUGCCAAAAACACCCACAACCUUGACUGGAUGGCUCUGGAAGAAACCAGGGUGUGCAGAAGCAUCUAUAGAGAAAAUGCAGCAGGACUCAGGGCUACUUGAAAGAGCAUCAGAUGGUCUACUGUGUUCACAUAUCUAUGAAGCCAGUCAGGUCAUCAAGAUCAACAUCUUCCUUCAGCAAAGUCCAUGUAAAGUGACAUUCGAGCUGCAGCAGGAUAGGCUGUAGGGUAUUCUUGGAAAUAUUACUAGAGGAAAAAACAGAAGAAUAUGUUUAAGCAUCUGUGAGAAGAGCAGAUUCAUGAAUAAAGAUAUGCAAAGG
This is a long non-coding RNA of Alligator sinensis (Chinese alligator), 524 nucleotides long. RefSeq lists it as uncharacterized. NCBI's taxonomy places the organism in Eukaryota, Metazoa, Chordata, Crocodylia, Alligatoridae. The record is from RefSeq and is a predicted model, not a curated record. The transcript is spliced from 3 exons.